Molecule: long non-coding RNA, 1112 nt
Organism: Chrysemys picta bellii (western painted turtle)
Lineage: Eukaryota; Metazoa; Chordata; Testudines; Emydidae
Source: RefSeq, a predicted model, not a curated record
AUUUAACCUAUACCCUUUAAUAGACAUAGUUUGGGGGUAAUUACCUGUGUGUCAGCAGCAUGUGAAUUUGGGCCAUGGGCGGAACCAUUAUAUAAUCUUGUAGACCAUUGGCUUAUUGUGCUUAUCUUGUCUUGCUGUUAGAACCUACCCAGGGGUUUCGGAAAACCCAUUCCUUUUCCUUCUCUCCAUCCAAUGAGCACCAUAUAUAAUCUAUUGUGACUAAUUGUUUUGCAGUGUCUCUGAGCCUAAUAAGCAAAGUGACACUCCGCCAGCACUGUGCGUAAUAAACUCCUGCGCUUGACUCUGCACUGUGUGGAUUAUUGUUCCUUCAGAUGGGGGCUUGUCCAGGAUACAAGCUUGUGAACUGAUUGAGGAACUGAGACUGAGAUCCAAGAGAGGUUCGAAGUGGCCGUCACUGAGAAACUGAUGCACAUGGAGCUGGUCCAGAUGAACGGUACCUUCUGGUGUGUGACUACCCAGAACCACUCCAUCGAGUUAAAUGGAAAGCCCUGUCCCUCGACACAUGCAUCCGUGUGCACGAUGGUUCCCCAAAGGGCAACCCUAACUGUUGACGGGACACGGCUCCACCGUACUCUGCCAAUGACGGCUAACCUUACAUGGGAUCGGGAAUGGCACUACGGCAGAAUGUACCUGUUGGUCAACCGAAAGAGCUGCUACCUCAUUCCCCUGGACCCCAACAUUAGGAUUUAACCUAUACCCUUUAAUAGACAUAGUUUGGGGGUAAUUACCUGUGUGUCAGCAAUAUGUGAAUUUGGGCCAUGGGCGGAACCAUUAUAUAAUCUUUUAGACCAUUGACCUAUUGUGCUUAUCUUGUCUUGCUGUUAGAACCUAUCCAGGGGUUUGGGAAAACCCAUUCCUUUCGCUUCUCUCCACCCAAUGAGCACCAUAUAUAAUCUAUUGUGACUAAUUGUUUUGCAGUGUCUCUGAGCCUAAUAAGCAAAGUGACACGCCGCCAGCACUGUGCGUAAUAAACUCUACACCAUGUGGAUUAUUGUUCCUUUACUCAUGAAGUCAUACACAGGCACCCUGGACAGUAGUAAGGAGCUGUUCAACUACAGGCUGAACAAGUGCAGAAUGGUGGUAGAAUGUGC